UUCCACCUACGGGGGGCAGCAGUGGGGAAUAUUGCACAAUGGGCGAAAGCCUGAUGCAGCAACGCCGCGUGAAGGAAGAAGGGUUUCGGCUCGUAAACUUCUCUUAACAGGGACGAAAGAAAUGACCGUACCUGAAUAAGAAGCCCCGGCUAACUACGUGCCCGCAGCCGCGGUCAUACGUAGGGGGCAAGCGUUAUCCGGAAUUACUGGGUGUAAAGGGUGAGUAGGCGGCAUGGUCAGCCAGAUG
This 247-nucleotide ribosomal RNA is filed under the name uncultured bacterium. Its description in RNAcentral is "partial 16S ribosomal RNA". It matches the Rfam family "Bacterial small subunit ribosomal RNA", at positions 333 to 594 of the family's 1533-position model. The record is from RNAcentral.